RNAcentral lists this ribosomal RNA (573 nucleotides) under Triticum aestivum (bread wheat). RNAcentral describes it as "partial small subunit ribosomal RNA". The record is from RNAcentral. Lineage: Eukaryota; Viridiplantae; Streptophyta; Magnoliopsida; Poales; Poaceae.
AUGAAAGGUGUUCCCUAUGCUUCAGCCAUAGGCUCUAUCAUGUAUGCAAUGCUAUGUAUUGGACCUGAUGUGUGCCUUGCUAUAAAUUUAGCAGGGAGGUACCAAAGUAAUCCAGGAGUGGAUCACUGGACAUCGGUCAAGAACAUCCUGAAAUACCUGAAAAGGACUAAGGAUAUGUUUCUCGUAUAUGGAGGUGACAAAGAGCUCGUCGUAAACGGUUACGUCGAUGCAAGCUUUGACACUGAUCCGGAUGACUCUAAGUCACAAACCAGAUACGUGUUUUUAUUAAAUGGUGGAGCUGUCAGUUGGUGCAGUUCCAAGCAGAGCGUCGUGGCGGGAUCUACGUGUGAAGCAGAAUACAUAGUUGCUUCGGAAGCAGCAAAUGAAGGAGUCUGGAUGAAGGAGUUCAUAUUCGAUCUAGGUGUCAUACCUUGUGCAUCGGGUCCAAUGAAAAUCUUUGUGACAAUACUGGUGCAAUUGCCUUGGCAAAGGAAUCCAGAUUUUACAAGAGAACCAAGCACAUCAAGAGACGCUUUAAUUCCAUCCGCGGUCAAGUCAAGGAGGGAGACAUAG